Non-coding RNA from Pelobates cultripes (western spadefoot toad), 225 nucleotides. Lineage: Eukaryota; Metazoa; Chordata; Amphibia; Anura; Pelobatidae. The record is from the annotation of a GenBank genome assembly.
UGUGGGGGUGUGAGGGGUGCUGUGUGUGAGGGGGUGCAGUGUGUUUCUGUUUGUGUGUUUCUGUGAGGGGUUCUGUUUGUGUGUGAGGUGGUGUAGUGUGUGUCAAGGGCCUAUAUUGUGGUGGGAGGGAUCAGGAAGAAAAUAUAGAUAGUUUUCUGUUUUUACUUAAAAAGAGGGGAAAAAAUGUAUGCAUCCCCCCUCCCCUCUGGCCUGGAAGGAGAGGAC